This 315-nucleotide ribosomal RNA is filed under the name Triticum aestivum (bread wheat). RNAcentral's name for it is "partial small subunit ribosomal RNA". The record is from RNAcentral. Lineage: Eukaryota; Viridiplantae; Streptophyta; Magnoliopsida; Poales; Poaceae.
AUGCACCCGAAGAGUAAAGGUGGCUUGGGGUUUAGAGACCUUCAUAGUUUUAAUCUUGCUUUACUAGCAAAAUAGUGUUGACGCUUACUCCAAAAUCUUGAAUCUUUGUGUGCAGAAGUACUAAGUGCAAAAUACUAUCCGGAUGGAAAUAUUCUCGUGGCUGGCCCUAGGAAAGGUUCUUUGUUUACUUGGCAAAGUAUUGUUUCGGGCAUACAAACUUUUAAGAGAGGGUGUAUUUGGCAUGUGGGUACGGGCUCACAGAUCAACAUCUGGCAUGUCCUUGGGUUCCUUCUAGUGAAUCAAGGAAGAUUUUAA